UACGUAGGGUGCAAGCGUUAAUCGGAAUUACUGGGCGUAAAGCGUGCGCAGGCGGUUCUAUAAGCCAGAUGUGAAAUCCCCGGGCUCAACCUGGGAACUGCAUUUGUGACUGUAGAGCUGGAGUACGGCAGAGGGGGAUGGAAUUCCGCGUGUAGCAGUGAAAUGCGUAGAUAUGCGGAGGAACACCGAUGGCGAAGGCAAUCCCCUGGGCCUGUACUGACGCUCAUGCACGAAAGCGUGGGGAGCAAACAGG
RNAcentral lists this ribosomal RNA (253 nucleotides) under uncultured bacterium. RNAcentral's name for it is "partial 16S ribosomal RNA". It matches the Rfam family "Bacterial small subunit ribosomal RNA", at positions 524 to 776 of the family's 1533-position model. The record is from RNAcentral.